Molecule: long non-coding RNA, 700 nt
Organism: Pipistrellus kuhlii (Kuhl's pipistrelle)
Lineage: Eukaryota; Metazoa; Chordata; Mammalia; Chiroptera; Vespertilionidae
Exons: 3
Source: RefSeq, a predicted model, not a curated record
GUAAACGAUCUACGACAUGCCCAAAGAGAAGAAAAGUACAUACAGGAUGCUUCUACUUAGGGCAUUUUUGGUAGGGAAAGAAAUACAUUAGUAAAAAAGGGACACUUUCUUUUGUCUUAAAGUCUAUGCAACUUAAAGGGGAGUGGGUGGGGGGGAGAUCCUCCAAACCCCCAAAGUCAAAGCAAAUCAAAUUACUCGAGUUGGCUAUGCAAUCCGAAUUGUUGGCUAUGCAAACCACAUCAAGUGAGCCCCGUCUGCUGCAAAACAUCACUUAAGCUGGAGCUCUGACUUAUUGUUCUCUGACUGCCCUGGAGCAAUUUUGUUUUGAAGAGCACAGAACACCCUGUUCUGAAUGUGGCUGGCACAUGAACUCAAUGUGCUGACAGCAAUUUGUACUCGGAUUAAACUGUGUGUGUGUGUGUGUGUGUGUGUGUGUGUGUACACUGUAGUAACAAAAACUGGAAUGCAAAAACUGUAUAAUUUGUAUUUUAGGAAGCAAAAGUGAGAAAGGCUCCACAACCUAAAAAUAAAGUGCUGUAAACGCUCCAGCCUAAAGACGUAGCUCUGGGGCCCCAAGCUAAAUAAGUCAUGCCUGUGCCUUUGCUUUCGUUCUCAUCUGAGAACAUUAAAACUUCUUGUCCUGAAUAAAACACACGGAGGAAAGAGCCAGAAUGAUAUGCACAUAGUUGCAGAAAAAAGA